GGAAGGAUGGAACUUCACCCAGGCUCACAGCAAGCAGACUUCCUGAUGGUGAGGCCCCACCCUCAGCCUCCAGAGGAUCUUUCUCUCCGCCUGCGUGUUGUCAGAGCAGCUGCCCUGGAAGCACGGCUCUAGACAGUGACCGCACGAGUGCCGGGGCAGGUGGGUGUGGGGUCUGACUCAUGGGAUGUGACUCAGGGUCCUGGGUGUUGGAGUCAGAGAGACCGUGGCGGGGGUGCUCACUUGGGUAUAUGCAAAACUUUUGCCUCUUGGGGACUUCCCUGGUGGUCCAGUGGUUAAGAAUUUGCCUGCCACUGCAGGCAGGCAAUGCAACUGUUUCGUCAGGAGUCUGGGAAGAUUCCACAUGCCACGGGGCAACUCAGCCCAGGCACCCCAACUACUGAAGCCCUCAUGCCCUGGAGCCUGUGCUCUGCAACAAGAAAAGCCACCGUAAUGAGAAGCCCAAGGACCACAACUAGAAAAACCUACAAGCAGCAACGAAGACCCAGUGCAGUCAUAAAUAAAUAAAAACUCUGCCUCUUCGGUAAUGGUAACAGCUGCCACCACAAUCAUAAUAAUAACAGCAGCCUGUAUAUAGAGUUUUUGUACCAGGCACUCUGAGCAGAGCGCUUGGUGUUGUCUCUAAGGUUGUCAUUAGCCCAUUUUACAGGUGAGGAAAUGGAGAACCAGGGAGGAAUAGGGCAGGAAUCCCUGUCUGCUUAACUCCACAGUUCUUGUUCUGAGUCCUGAGCCCCCAUGGGAGGCUGCAACUUUGAAAGAGCAGUUUUUCUGGUUUCUUUCCUUGAGGUUAAGAUACAUCCUGAGGCCAAGGUUCUGCAACUGGAGACUCCAGGGGUGUCUCUCCCAGGAGACCUGCUAUGUAGUCAGGCUGUCCCAUCCCAUCAGGGUCUGGAAUCUUUGCUGCGUCAAGGCCCCAUGUCAUCAGCACCAGAUCUUCUAAUGACACACUGCAGCCUGGGAAAUUACAGUGCCCAGGAGACUUGUCCCAGAGGCCUUGCUCAGGGUAAUUCCAGAGCAGGAGAGAAUGCUGGGAAUAACAAGAAAAACAGAGUCAGGCUGCCAGCCUUAGGUAAUGGAAUGGUGUGUUGUGGCCAUGGAGCAUGGGGGAUGGAGAAUUUUAUUUUCUAAAACAGAUUUUUCUCCCUAAAUUUUAAAAAUACUGAAAAAUGCAAAAUCAAAAGUAAAAAUGAUACUCAGUCUUAUCAUUUAAAAUUAUGCCUUUCAAUGCCACUCCCCAGAAAUGAUGACUGUUACAGGAGGCUUUGAUUCAUCUCCUUCUGAAGUUGGCCUCUGCUUCUACAUAUGCACAUGGACAAUUUUCAUGAAUGGAGUCAAGUUUUGCAUGUUGGCCUGCAAGCUGCUUCUGUCACUUAAUGAUGCGUCAGAUAUUUCUUGCUUGACUAGUAUAGGAGCUGAACUUAGAGGAUGCUAAUAUUCAUUUAAAAGGUGAGUACCACUUGACACAGAACCGGAGUGAAGGUAUGGAGCAACUGGAACUCUCUUCUGAGGAUGGUGGGGAUAACAAACAAUUGGUUUAACCAUUUUUGGAAAACUGCUUGCCACUGUCUACUAAAGCUAAUCGUACCCGCAUCAGAAAUGCAUACACACAUUCACCAAAAGGCCUGGGCAAGAACAUUCCCAGCAGCACUAUUCAAAUAGCCGCAAUUCAAAAGUCCAUCAAAAAUAGAGUGAGUUUUUAAAAAUGUGAUUUAUUUAUACAGUGGACGUCAUAUACCAAUGGAAAGGAAAGAACCAUAACUGCACACAAGAGCAAAUCUCACAGGUGUGGUGCUCAGCUAAGAAGCCAGACACACAAAACCCAUACGGCAUGAUUCCAUUUGUAUAAAGCUCAAUGUCAGGCCAAAUGAGUCUAUGGUUUUAGACGUCAGGAAGGGGCACAAGAGGAACUUCUGGGGGCUAAAGUGCUGUUUCUUAAUCUUAGUCUACUGGCUAUUUACAUGGGAUGUUCCAUUUGUCAGAAUUCACUGAGCUGUGCGCUUACACUGAAGAUCUGUGUACUUUUCUGUAUGUGUCAUACUUCAGUUAGAGUCUAUUUUCUAAAGAGAGGCUCAAUGGCAUUCAGUCCCUUCCCCUGAAAUCAGUCCUGUUUCCCCUAGGUUUGCCCCUUUCUCUCUCUCUUCCAGAACCUUCGGAGCGCACACAGCAGGUGUGGCAUAUUGCCAUCGGUCCUGUGGGGCAGAGAGAGGAAAAGUCGACCUUCAGGUCCUGGAAGCCCUGGUGGGACCCAGUGGCCAGCCUUGGGAGAGCACUCAGGCCGCACCGCCCCCCAGGCUUGCUCCGAAGAUCCUGACACCAACUAGCUGAGUCCCAGGUCACCUUCCCUCAGCUCCUGCAUCUGCACGCUCCCUGGGGAGAAGAACCCGGCUGUGCUCCACACCGACUGUGCGCCAUGCCCUCUACUGAGAAUUUUCCAUACACAAUACAAUUAUACACAGGCUCUAAGUCCUUCAGCAACAUCCCUCUGUGCUGCGUGCGCUUUUGACAGUCUGGGCAGGGCGUGGGGUGAGCAGUGACUUGGCGGAGAUGGGGGAAGGUGAGUGAGAGGGCAUCUGUUACUGAUUUGCCCAUAGGUCCCCUGGGCUCUUUACCUGGCUUGGGAAAUUCUCUUCCCCUGAGGCUUCGAGCGAUUAAAGAGCAAGACACUUGCUUCCUCAGCUUCCCUAGCGGCCAAGUAUAGGCACGUGACCUGGGAUCGGCCAAUCAGAUGCCCCUGCUCUGGUCUUGGAGUCAGGAUGGGGGAAGGGGAAUGACUCUAGGGAUGGGCAGUGGCUACAUCCUGUUUCUGGGGAACAGCCGCCUCCGUGGGGCCAAUAGCACAGUCCAGUGUUUGGAGUCCAGUUCAGACGUCAGCGGGGAGAAGAGAGUCAUCUAGGGUUCCUGGGGGCCCUUGGGUUCUCAAGAAGCAGCUCUGGGGUGUGGAUUUGUCAGCCUUCCUCACAGUGGAGUUCUCCAGCCCACUGUCGAUUCUACGACCUACCCAGGGUCCUGUCAGAACUUCCCUUUCGUGCUUAACUCAGCUAGACUGGCUUCCCAGGUGCUGCAGUGCUAAAUAAUCCACCUGCCAAUUCAGGAGCUUCAAGAGACAGCGGGUUCGAUCCCUGGGAUGGGAAGAUCCCCUGGAGGAGGAAAUGGCAACCCACUCCAGUAUUCUUGCCUGGAAAAUUCCAUGGACAGAGGAGCCUGGUGGGUAGCUGACAGCCAUGGGCUCUCAAAGAGUCUGACUCGACUGAGCAUGAGCACACACAGCUAGAACAAUCUUUUGUAGGUUGCAGCUACAGGAAGGGCAUAGGGCAUGGUUGGCUCCCAAGCCAUCCCACUGGGACAGGAGACCUGGGCGUCUCUGCCCCUCCUGACAGUGACCAUGGCCAUGGCAUGUUCCCGACCUGGGUGCUCACUCAGAUCCCUGAGCCAGCAGAGGCCACUCAGCACGGGCAGGGUGGUAAGGUUACAGAAGCCCUUAGGGACACUCCAGGAGGACCCAGGCUCUAAAUAGAAUGUCCUAGGCAAUGUCCCUUCAUCAUAAGAGCCACGCAGCUUUAGAGCCUGGGCCACCCUUCAGAGCAGCCGGGGGCUGGCCUCCCCAAGUCAGGAGGCCUGGGUUCUUAUCUGGCUGCAGGUAACGCCGUGUGUGGCUUGGGUCAGUCACGCCUGUUCUCUGAGCCUCAGUGUCCAUGUCCUGCCCGGGAAGCCUGGGAGGGGGACAGAUAACUGAGAGGUCCCCUCUAGGACUGGUGCUUCCAGAACGAGCACCCGGAACCUCUGGGACCUCAUCAUCCCCACCCCACCCCCUGCCUCAGCCCCUGAACUCCUGUGAGCUCCCUG
Long non-coding RNA from Bos taurus (domestic cattle), 3861 nucleotides. The record is from Ensembl. Lineage: Eukaryota; Metazoa; Chordata; Mammalia; Artiodactyla; Bovidae.